RNAcentral lists this ribosomal RNA (253 nucleotides) under uncultured bacterium. Its description in RNAcentral is "partial 16S ribosomal RNA". It matches the Rfam family "Bacterial small subunit ribosomal RNA", at positions 524 to 776 of the family's 1533-position model. The record is from RNAcentral.
UACGGAGGGUGCGAGCGUUGUCCGGAAUCACUGGGCGUAAAGGGCGCGUAGGCGGCCUGAUAAGUAGGGGGUGAAAUCCUGCGGCUUAACCGCAGGGCUGCCUUCUAAACUGUCAGGCUUGAGCACAGUAGAGGCAGGUGGAAUUCCCGGUGUAGUGGUGGAAUGCGUAGAUAUCGGGAGGAACACCAGUGGCGAAGGCGGCUUCCUGGCGCGAUUCUGACGCUGAGGUGCGAAAGCGUGGGGAGCGAUCCGG